This 150-nucleotide ribosomal RNA is filed under the name Froelichia latifolia. RNAcentral's name for it is "5.8S ribosomal RNA". It matches the Rfam family "5.8S ribosomal RNA". From Rfam's summary of the family: 5.8S ribosomal RNA (5.8S rRNA) is a component of the large subunit of the eukaryotic ribosome. It is transcribed by RNA polymerase I as part of the 45S precursor that also contains 18S and 28S rRNA. Lineage: Eukaryota; Viridiplantae; Streptophyta; Magnoliopsida; Caryophyllales; Amaranthaceae. The record is from RNAcentral.
AAAUGACUCUCGGCAACGGAUAUCUCGGCUCUCGCAUCGAUGAAGAACGUAGCGAAAUGCGAUACUCAGAAUCCCGUGAACCAUCGAGUUUUUGAACGCAAGUUGCGCCCGAAGCCUUUUGGCCAGGGCACGUCUGCCUGGGCGUCACAC